GACGAACGCUGGCGGCGUGCUUAACACAUGCAAGUCGAACGGAAAGGCCCUGCUUUUGUGGGGUGCUCGAGUGGCGAACGGGUGAGUAACACGUGAGUAACCUGCCCUUGACUUUGGGAUAACUUCAGGAAACUGGGGCUAAUACCGGAUAGGAGCUCCUGCUGCAUGGUGGGGGUUGGAAAGUUUCGGCGGUUGGGGAUGGACUCGCGGUGUAUCAGCUUGUUGGUGGGGUAGUGGCUUACCAAGGCUGUGACGGGUAGCCGGCCUGUGAGGGUGAACGGCCACCCGGGAAGGGAGCCACGGUCAAGACGCCUACGGGAGGCAGCAGUCGGGAAUGUGCCGCAGUGGGGGGGAGCCUGACGGAGGGGCGCCGCGUGAGUGAUGAAGGGCUUCGGGGCGUAAAACUCUGUUAGGGGGGAAGAACCACUGUGGCAGUAACUAUGCCGGGCUUGACGGUACCUAAUCAGAAAGCCCCGGCUAACUACGUG
RNAcentral lists this ribosomal RNA (488 nucleotides) under uncultured bacterium. RNAcentral describes it as "partial 16S ribosomal RNA". It matches the Rfam family "Bacterial small subunit ribosomal RNA", at positions 28 to 507 of the family's 1533-position model. The record is from RNAcentral.